This 1252-nucleotide long non-coding RNA is filed under the name Ananas comosus (pineapple). Its description in RNAcentral is "long non-coding RNA (ACOM_LNC037024)". The record is from RNAcentral. Lineage: Eukaryota; Viridiplantae; Streptophyta; Magnoliopsida; Poales; Bromeliaceae.
UUGCAAAAUUGCCGCUAAACCCCUCAACUUUUACCCUCUCACACAGCCUGGACUGGGCUGUUCGCGCAGGCGGGGACCGGUCUCUCCUUCAGGGACCGGUUCCCGAAGGCUCUCCCCGUGCAGCCAGAGCUGCUGCGCGCGAUGCAUCCGGUCUCUCUUUGGGGGACCGGUCUCUCGGGGACUAGUCUCUCAGACAGGGACCGGUUCCCGAGAGCUGAUUUCUCAGGACUUAGCCGAUUUUUCGGCUGUCUCAUUUCAUACGCGUUCGGGGACCGGUCUCUCCCACCAGGGACCGGUCCCCGAGAGCUCAAAAUCUGCAGUUUUGCAUAAUUUGAUUCUUUAGCUCUAGAAAACCUUCCACAACGCACUCUUGAUCAUUUUAACACCUUCGGACUUUUCGAUGUGUACCAUCCUCGCACUUUGGUCAAUUUGACUAAAGUUCAAUAUUUAUUUUUCAAAUUUUCGGUAUAUUACAAUUUGGGGCUGAGGUGUAUGUGAGACGUCCAUCGCCUCGAGCCUGGUUCUAAUGCGGUACUCCGUAGACGAUUGACUCAAGACCGAGUCGGGUGGUUAGCCUCGUAAAGGUAGAUGAAACUUUAUGAUUAAAACGGUGAUUGACAAGAAUCUAAGAUAGAGGAAACCUUAGAUAUCAAAUGGAUGAGCUAUGGUUAGCAGAAUUGAAAGUAGUAUCGAAUGAACUACUAGUUGGUUGCAUAGUUGCAUUAUUGCAUGAUUUGCAUAUAGUAUUGCAUUAUUACGUUUAUGAGGCAAUGCAUGGUUUUAUUCGUUGCAUAAUCAAGAUAUAUAUAUCAAUCUGUUUAUUAAACUAACCUGCAGUUGUCUCCUUUGAACCUGUUGGUCGAGCAUUUCCCUUGGGUGGCCGUACCCACUAGGAACCAUGGAGUUGGUUCUCACCCCACGUGGUUUUGAGGUGUUACAGGUUCGCACGUGAGCAGCGCGGCGGCGCGAGGCGAGGGCAUAGCUCCAUUGUUAGCGCCCUACCACCGAGACCAGAGAUAGCGGUACCCUGAGUCGGCCUUACUUAGAGAUGUAAAGAAUGAAAAGAAUCAAAUUGUAAUAAUCAUGUUAAAUCGGAUUGUAUUUGGAAGUUAAGUGAAAGCUAAUGUAAGAAUCAAUUGAGAAUUGUGAUGUAAAAAUGUAUGAAUGUGAAUGCUUGUAAUAAUAUAGGAAGUGUUAUGUUGUUUGAUACCUUCCAUUAUGCAAUCUUGAUUGAAAUGUGUUCCUGGUUGGA